CCCAAACUUAACCAUUGGUGCUAGGGG
RNAcentral lists this non-coding RNA (27 nucleotides) under Homo sapiens (human). Lineage: Eukaryota; Metazoa; Chordata; Mammalia; Primates; Hominidae. The record is from RNAcentral.